Molecule: RNA transcript, 2065 nt
Organism: Triticum aestivum (bread wheat)
Lineage: Eukaryota; Viridiplantae; Streptophyta; Magnoliopsida; Poales; Poaceae
Exons: 5
Source: RefSeq, a predicted model, not a curated record
CGAAAAUGAAAAAAUGUGGAGACGCGGCCACUCCUCUCCCCCGAUGCGCCGCCGCCCCCCGUCCCCCCUGCUCCGCCUCCGCUCCCAGCCUCUCCCCCUCGGCGUUCGCGCCUCCGGAUCGAAGCCCACGACGGCGGCGUUCCCAGAUCGGCAAAGCGCCACCCCAUCGGAUCGUCGUCACUGCUGACGGCCGCCUCCUCGUCAAGGAAGCGCGGCUUCCAGCCGGCGGCGACCAAGGCAAGGGAGGCCCGCGAAGAAGUUGCUCCUGCUCCCGCGGCCGACGGCGGCCGUGACGAAGCUGCUCCUGCUCCAGAGGGGCGCCUCUGCCCCCGCGUGUUCCACCGGGAGAGGAGGAGAGGAUCCUCCGCGUGAUCUUCUUCUUCUCGGCCGACGAUGCAUCCUCCUCCUCCGCCGCGUCAUGGGCGCUCACCACGGAAGGGGAGGUGCCGCUGGAGCUCAAUCUGGCAUUCAACGCCGCGGACGGCCGGCCACAUCCCCUCCCCUGUGGGUUUCGCCUGGGCGGGCGUCUCCUACUCUUCCCGGACCUCACGGUCCAGGCCAUCACAAGUCUGCCCUACAUGAUGCCUGGCAGGCUAACCUAGCAGGAUGCAUGUGCAACAGACUGAAACAAGCAGCCUACACUGUCCUCAAAUCCCCUGUUUCUUCUUUCACAGCUCUGCUCUCCAACAGCUUGCACGGCUCCAUCACCGCCGAGAUCAUCAACUGCAACAAGCCGACAGCAAUUUAUGCGUGCCACCAGUAUGCCAUCUACUUCUUUUUAUGCUACUUCAUUGGGCUUGUUUUGUUUGCUUGGUUGUAGGUUGAUGAAUAAGGCUGCUGAAAAAUAAAAUUCGGGUGUUUUGGUUGUGCAUCUGUUCAGUUAUCUGAGCCAACUCUACCUGCUGAGAUUAUUAUUGGUGUGGGCAACCACCAGUACGUGUAUGAGCAGCUUAAGGUUAUCUUAUGCAUGAUUGUGUGCUGUCCAUCAUGAUGGCUGGACUCGUUCAUGAAUGUCCAUCUUUUCCACCGCAGGGGAGAUGCACAUUUUGAAACCAUGACUCCCCUUUUUCUCUUCUUGUGUACCACUCGGUGAAGUGGCCUGCACUCCUGUUCCUAAGAGUUGUUGAAAUUUUGUAUUUGGUUGCCAUGCAAACCGAACUGGCCCGUACUCCUGUUCACCGGUCUUUUGUUUAGCAUGGAUUGUAUGCCCUGUUUCCAGUACUUAUGGUAGUUCUAGGGCAUUGUUUGAUACUUGCUAGCAUGAUUGACUUUUCCGUUGAGUAGCUAACCACUACCUGGUUGUUUGAACCAAUGGUUGGUUAGAUCCUGUAGGCUGAGUCUAUGGUCUGUUUAGGUUGCUAUUGUGGUCUGGUUGUUCUCUAAUAAGAACAUAUAUUUUUCUUGCUUGUGCAUUCAACUGAAGCUAUUGCUUAUGUGUGUACUGUUUCUCUGCCUCGGCCUCCCGUGGAUGAGCUGAUGAUGAGAAUUGCAGGCACGGAGGGGUUGUACACGGAGCUGCAGGGGAAGAUGAUGGGCAAUAAGGCCACAGAGUAAGCGCUCAUCUUUGUCGAGGAGUGCGGACUCACCAGCCUUCUCACGCCGGAUCAGUUCCUCAACGAGCGGGAGAGUAUGCUCCAGGGGAUCUCUUCCUCCUGCGCGCCUGAUGCUUGGCAAGAUUGAUGUUGUUGGUGGCACAAGUGGCAAGGCGCUGAAGAGAGAAGGAAGUGCAUGCUGAAGGACGUGCUUUGUGUUGCGAAGUGCUAAUUGAUGGAUGGAUAUGGCUGGUGAUAGAUAUGUGUUGUGUACUUAGUAGAUAAAACGGCUUGGUUUUAUUUGUCAUGAACCUCAAGUGUUGGAAAUCGAUGUAGAUGCAUUUCCCAGCUCUUGUUUAUGUUGGGCUGGGCAAUGAGAUGAGCAAGGGCGAUACUAGAAACAUGCAUGCCACCGUAAAUUUCUGCAUUUCUUAAGUGAAGUGGAGGAAUUUAAGAAAUAUGAUUCAUGGAAUGACCAUGCAUCACUCUGUGAAAUGAAAUGAAAUGAAACGAAAUGCAAGUUGUUGAGUCAA